Long non-coding RNA from Oreochromis aureus, 412 nucleotides. RefSeq lists it as uncharacterized. The record is from RefSeq and is a predicted model, not a curated record. The transcript is spliced from 3 exons. Lineage: Eukaryota; Metazoa; Chordata; Actinopteri; Cichliformes; Cichlidae.
CAUGCUUUUGCUUAAUAGUAAACAGAAAUAUUUGUCUUUUUCAACAUCCUUAGAAAUGUUGUUCAACAGCUGUCACCAAAUGGAGCACUCUAAACCCUGCACUGGAAAAAAUAUCCCUUACUUCACCUGUGAUCACACACUUUUUUUUCCAGUGCAAAGGCAGCUGGCAGAGGAAUGGCCAAGAAAGGAAAGACCUCACUGAGCGAAAAAGAUGAGGACAAAAGCUGGUGAUGAUUCAGUGCAGCUGGUCUCAGGGGAUGAAGCAAAAGCCUGAUCAACUUCUCUACAAAAACAAGGCUCAAUGAGACGGGGGAAGUAAACAGCGAUACAUUCACCCAGACUGCUGAUGUUCCUGUAUGAACUGAAAAACUUUGAACAUCCAAGAAAAAGCUGAGUGGAUCCCCAGGCCAAU